UUUAGAUGGGCUAUUUUAUUUAAUUAAAUAAAUUAUUAUGUUAAAUUUAAUAGUGGGUUAGGUAAUAAUCAUUAAUUGUUAUAAUUUUAUAUAAAAAUUAAAAAAAUUAAACCGCUAACUGAAUUACUGUUAGAUUUAGUAAAAUUCUUAAGUUAAUUGAAUGGAAUAAUGCAAAUAAAAUAAUUAAAAGUUAAGUAAGUUUAAAAAUAAAAAAAAUAAAGUUA
Molecule: long non-coding RNA, 224 nt
Filed under: Ananas comosus (pineapple)
Lineage: Eukaryota; Viridiplantae; Streptophyta; Magnoliopsida; Poales; Bromeliaceae
Description: long non-coding RNA (ACOM_LNC026968)
Source: RNAcentral